GGUUAAUAUUCCUGUACUUGGUGUUACUGCGAAGGGGGGACGGAGAAGGCUAUGUUGGCCGGGCGACGGUUGUCCCGGUUUAAGCGUGUAGGCUGGUUUUCCAGGCAAAUCCGGAAAAUCAAGGCUGAGGCGUGAUGACGAGGCACUACGGUGCUGAAGCAACAAAUGCCCUGCUUCCAGGAAAAGCCUCUAAGCAUCAGGUAACACGAAAUCGUACCCCAAACCGACACAGGUGGUCAGGUAGAGAAUACCAAGGCGCUUGAGAGAACUCGGGUGAAGGAACUAGGCAAAAUGGUGCCGUAACUUCGGGAGAAGGCACGCUGACACGUAGGUGAAGUGAUUUACUCACGGAGCUGAAGUCAGUCGAAGAUACCAGCUGGCUGCAACUGUUUAUUAAAAACACAGCACUGUGCAAACACGAAAGUGGACGUAUACGGUGUGACGCCUGCCCGGUGCCGGAAGGUUAAUUGAUGGGGUCAGCGCAAGCGAAGCUCCUGAUCGAAGCCCCGGUAAACGGCGGCCGUAACUAUAACGGUCCUAAGGUAGCGAAAUUCCUUGUCGGGUAAGUUCCGACCUGCACGAAUGGCGUAAUGAUGGCCAGGCUGUCUCCACCCGAGACUCAGUGAAAUUGAACUCGCUGUGAAGAUGCAGUGUACCCGCGGCAAGACGGAAAGACCCCGUGAACCUUUACUAUAGCUUGACACUGAACAUUGAGCCUUGAUGUGUAGGAUAGGUGGGAGGCUUUGAAGUGUGGACGCCAGUCUGCAUGGAGCCGACCUUGAAAUACCACCCUUUAAUGUUUGAUGUUCUAACGUGGACCCGUUACCCGGGUUGCGGACAGUGUCUGGUGGGUAGUUUGACUGGGGCGGUCUCCUCCUAAAGAGUAACGGAGGAGCACGAAGGUUGGCUAAUCCUGGUCGGACAUCAGGAGGUUAGUGCAAUGGCAUAAGCCAGCUUGACUGCGAGCGUGACGGCGCGAGCAGGUGCGAAAGCAGGUCAUAGUGAUCCGGUGGUUCUGAAUGGAAGGGCCAUCGCUCAACGGAUAAAAGGUACUCCGGGGAUAACAGGCUGAUACCGCCCAAGAGUUCAUAUCGACGGCGGUGUUUGGCACCUCGAUGUCGGCUCAUCACAUCCUGGGGCUGAAGUAGGUCCCAAGGGUAUGGCUGUUCGCCAUUUAAAGUGGUACGCGAGCUGGGUUUAGAACGUCGUGAGACAGUUCGGUCCCUAUCUGCCGUGGGCGUUGGAGAACUGAGGGGGGCUGCUCCUAGUACGAGAGGACCGGAGUGGACGCAUCACUGGUGUUCGGGUUGUCAUGCCAAUGGCACUGCCCGGUAGCUAAAUGCGGAAGAGAUAAGUGCUGAAAGCAUCUAAGCACGAAACUUGCCCCGAGAUGAGUUCUCCCUGAGACUUAGAGUCUCCUGAAGGAACGUUGAAGACGACGACGUUGAUAGGCCGGGUGUGUAAGCGCAGCGAUGCGUUGAGCUAACCGGUACUAAUGAACCGUGAGGCUUAACCUUACAACGCCGAAGCUGUU
RNAcentral lists this ribosomal RNA (1534 nucleotides) under Salmonella enterica subsp. enterica serovar Newport. RNAcentral describes it as "partial 23S ribosomal RNA". It matches the Rfam family "Bacterial large subunit ribosomal RNA", at positions 1428 to 2925 of the family's 2925-position model. The record is from RNAcentral. Lineage: Bacteria; Pseudomonadati; Pseudomonadota; Gammaproteobacteria; Enterobacterales; Enterobacteriaceae.